RNAcentral lists this ribosomal RNA (597 nucleotides) under Triticum aestivum (bread wheat). Its description in RNAcentral is "partial small subunit ribosomal RNA". Lineage: Eukaryota; Viridiplantae; Streptophyta; Magnoliopsida; Poales; Poaceae. The record is from RNAcentral.
AUGGCUUCCUCCUCGCUGCUGCCACUGCUUCUCGUGCUCCUGCUGGCCUCGUCGUGGGCGGCCGUAGCACGCGCACGGCCCGGCGACAACGUUUGGGAGCACACAGUCGUGUACAUGCACGAGAGGCUGACGGGCCCGAACGCCACGCGGCUUAUUACGGUGCAGUCCCCGCUCGGCGGCGACAACUUUGGGCAGUUCGGCGUGGUAGACAACGAGCUGCGAGACGGCCCGGACCCUCUCCGCUCGUCGCUCUGCGGCCGGUUCCAGGCCCUGUUUGCGCUGGCGGGUCUGGUGAGCCCACCGGGCAUGCAGUCGGCCGUCAACUUCUUGUUCACGGCGGGGAGGUUACGCGGGAGCACGGUGUCUGUGCUGGGCCCCAUUCUGGACUUCGAGAGCACCUGCGAGCGCAGCAUCGUGGGCGGCACGGGCGUGUUUCGAAUGGCGCGCGGAUACAGCUUCAUGAGGCUUGUGCCUGAGAUGAGCGUACCCGAUAAGUACAGCGUCUACAGGCUCGACCUCUUCAUUCAAGUCAACUCGGACCGUCUGCCACUACUGCCGCCGGUUGAUUCCGUUGGCUGUUACGACAUUUCAAUCUGA